CAGUAGCCGCGGUAAUACGAAGGGGGCUAGCGUUGCUCGGAAUGACUGGGCGUAAAGGGCGCGUAGGCGGAUUGUUUAGUUAGGCGUGAAAUUCCUGGGCUUAACCUGGGGACUGCGCUUAAUACAGGCAGUCUAGAGUGUGUCAGAGGAUGGUGGAAUUCCCGGUGUAGCGGUGAAAUGCGUAGAGAUCGGGAGGAACAUCAGUGGCGAAGGCGGCCAUCUGGGACAACACUGACGCUGAGGCACGAAAGCGUGGGGAGCAAACAGGAUUAGAUACCCCCGUAGUCCCUGUCUCUUAUAC
RNAcentral lists this ribosomal RNA (301 nucleotides) under uncultured bacterium. Its description in RNAcentral is "partial 16S ribosomal RNA". It matches the Rfam family "Bacterial small subunit ribosomal RNA", at positions 509 to 807 of the family's 1533-position model. The record is from RNAcentral.